Molecule: microRNA precursor, 104 nt
Organism: Chlorocebus sabaeus (green monkey)
Lineage: Eukaryota; Metazoa; Chordata; Mammalia; Primates; Cercopithecidae
Source: Ensembl
AGUUUCUAUUCUAUUAGGUCGGUGCAAAAGUAAUUGCAGGUUUUGCCAGUAAAAGUAAUGGCAAAUUAGCAAUUGCUGUUGCACCAACAUAAUAUCUGAUAUCC